AUAUAUAUAUAUAUAUAUAUCAACAGUCGUUACAGUCCCAUUAGUUUUCUCUGCAGCCUCGUUUGAAUGUCGCCGAUGCGCCAUUUGUACGGAAUGGAGUAACGCUUUGAACACACCGACUGUGUUAUGCAUCACUGAUGCAUAACAUUUUGCGCAGCUAGGCAACUAUACUUGUGCAGGUACCUUUUGCAGAUGGUCGCAUGCGGUUGGACACAUGGAGGAGAGAAUUUUCAAUUUCGCAGUAUCCUCAAAACCGUGUCUUUUUGACACAACUGCUGACAGCUACAGGGACAAACACAAAAAAAUGCUGCUCGUUGACAAGUGUCCACAAUAGUAGGAUUGCCAGGUCAGUUUAGUAGUGAGCUUGUGCUAGAUGUGGCUAGUUAACCUAGCCAAUGAGGUGUGUAAGAAAGUCAAAUAAAUUAUGCUAGUUACUACCCCAGAACUUUACCAAACAAUCAUGUUUGAAAGAGUGAGUGUGUAUGCUAGAUUAAUAGCAAUGGUAGACACUACUGAUAAUUUGGUCAGAUAAGUGUGUGUGUGUAUGUGUACAGUAGGUGACCUGUCCAUGACAGCUAUAGUUAUGCUAGGUAAUGGUUUGGCUUAUCAUGUUCAUGUCUAUGUAGAAGAAGACUGUAGGAGGAAGUGGAGAGGACUCAGGGACAGGUAUCAGAGAGAGAGAGAGAGAGAAGGGCAGAGAAAGAGAAGAGGCCUGGGUCAGCAGCUUCAGGCCAGCAGCCUUGGCGCUUCUGCCACAUUCUUUCUUUUCUGGAUCCAUUUAUUGUGCCUAGGGCAACGAGUGACAAUUUUACAGGCAGACCCUCUACUACGUCAUCCACAAGUGGUCGCCACCGGUGCAUCAAGACCCUCAACGUCAUCUACAAGUGCGAGCAUCGCCUCCACCGGUGCAGCGAGACCCUCUACAACGUCUACAUAAUCUACGAGUAUGACCACCACCGGUGCAGCCAUGGAAGAUGAUGAAAUGGAUAAAGCACCUCUGGAUCUAGGACCACCUGAGAUUAAACCUCACGGAAGUGACCACUGAGGACCUCGUUGAACAGGAUGUGGCCGUGGAGAGAAACAGAGAGAGAAACGAAGAGGAACAACGUCACACCAGGCGUCAUCGGAGGUACCAGCCCCCAGAUCCACUCAACUCAUUCCAGCAGAGGCUCCUCCAAUCCGUCGAGAGGGAUGCAGCCCAACCUGAUGCUCACAGGAAGGAGGAUGAGGAGACCCUCUUUGCCAUGAGCCUGGUGCCAACACUGAAGAGGCUGCCUCAGCAAAGAAAAGCAGCAGUCAAGGUUAAAAUGUAUCAGCUGCUUUUCGAAGCCGAGUUCAAAUAAAUGGAGUCAAUUUAGCCGACCAGCUCACAGGAAGGACAGGAAGAGGAGAGGAAGGACAGGGAGAGGAGAGGAAGGACAGGAAGGACAGGAAGAGGAGUUGUCUGGGUGUUGUUUUGACCUCCCUCAUUGUACCUUUCUUUUCACACACGUCAGUUCCGUUUAAAUUCAGUCAAUUCAUGAAGUCAUUUGUUUAUAAAGUCUUACAUGCUGACCAGACACGUCGCGUGCGUUGCAAAAUAAAUUUAGAAAUCCAUGUUAUUCAAUUAUUGCACCCACACUGCUCACGCGCGCCAACGAACAUCUGCGACGCCAAGGGCUAAAAUAGAAGUAAUUCCUAUUUCUGACGCAGAUCGCGCUGCAAGUCCUGCCUCUCCCAUCUCCUCAUUGGUUUAUAGAAGCAGGUACCCACGUGCCAUCUCCUCAUUGGUUUAUAGAAGCAGGUACCCACGUGCAAUCUCCUCAUUGGUUAUACCCACGUGGGUGAUAGAAAGACGAACUGUUUUGCCAGUAGUCGUGGUAAUACAAUGAAAGUUUAGAUGCGAUCACCAUAUAAUUUAAACGAUGAAAAGGCCUGGAAGGAGGAGAGAUGACUAGAAACGAUUCGGUUGGCCGUUUUAUGUGUGGAUUAAUUGUCGGAGUAGUGCAUUUCAGGUAAAAUAACUCAAUGUUUAUAUCCCAGGACAAAUUAGCUAGCAACAGCAAGUUAGCUAAAUAGGACAAAUUACCGUUAGCUAGCAAGUGCAAGCUAACUAGCUAAUUUACCAUACAUGUUUAAUGCUUUUCGACCUGUCCCCAAAUUAAUGUCAUUUGUUCAGAGUUUGUUUUGAUAUUUUAACCUGCGUGUCGUGAUUGCGUUUGGUGUGGGGGGGCAAAAUACAUUUAUGCACGAUAGCGCACGCGCGCAGCCGGUUUGGGCAAGGUGUUAGGAUAGCAGUCAUUAUUAGUGUUACAUAGAUUUCUGAAUUGAAACUCAUACACCGGAGAAUUCACAGAUCAGAUGCUCUUGUUGGUCUCAUACGAGACUAAAGGUGAAUAUAUUUCUUUCAUUUAAAACCACUUGAAACCAGGGUGUUGAAACUGUUUGAAGUUUUGUUCCAUUAACUGGUCCAUGACGUCCAGCGGCCAUUUGUUUGUUUAGCUGUGUUAUGGCUACACAUUAUUUUAUUUUUUCCAUAGACACACACACCUCUUCUCCACUCCUCUGUACCACAGAUCUCCAGUGCCCUGCCCUCUCUCUCUUUAUGGCCAUGUCUGAAGUUCCCCUACUACUGUCUAGGUUUUAUGAGUAGUCCCUGUAUCGGUCUGCAGUUGUGCCAAAAAUACAUGCUCUUGUUGUUCUCUUACAGGCUACACAUUCAUAUUAUACUUUUUUUUACAUGCACAUACACCUCUUUCAAUAGUUCUAUUUUUAUUUUACAACACAUACCUGUCAUGUUCUUUCCUGUAGUUGAAUACUUAUUAAAUUAUGUUUUCAUAGUCAGUUGUAUAUUAAUAUCUCAUUUAGACUUAAUCUGCUUAUUUCUUCCCUACACCUUUGUAGAUCUAAGACAAGAUGAAAGUAAAAACACAUUCUCUUCCUGAA
Salvelinus fontinalis (brook trout) is the source of this 2925-nucleotide long non-coding RNA. RefSeq lists it as uncharacterized. Lineage: Eukaryota; Metazoa; Chordata; Actinopteri; Salmoniformes; Salmonidae. The transcript has 2 exons. The record is from RefSeq and is a predicted model, not a curated record.